GAAAACAGAAAAUACCACUCUCCCUCUCUGCAUCAAAACUCUCUCUCUCUCUCUCUCUCUCUCUCUCUCAAGUUCUUUGAAGCAAAGCUCUCUCCAUUUUCUGAAACACUUUCACUUUCAUUUUACAACACGUUAUCAGCACGAAUAGCUCUAGGAUUUGGAUUGCAGAUUGACAAGGGAAGAGGUGAAUAAUUCUUAGGUUGCAGAGAAAAGGCAGUUCAUCAUUCAAUCAACUUCACUCUACCAGCUCUACAAUCAAGUAGGUUUUUCCAAACAAAAAACCUAUUUUGCUGUUUCAUUUUACCUUCUGAUCUCUGUGUUCCAGUAUUUAUUUAAAAUAGUAAUUCAACUCCAAAAUUCACCAAAUUUUGUAUGCUGGAGCCCUUAUAUGUUUAGUGCAUCUCUGUAAAUUUUCGUAUUUUUCUGGGUAGUUUUGCUUAGUGUUUCAGUUCGUCUUUCGACUGUUGUUCAGUAUGAACUGCAGUCACGAUUUAUGACUUUUGUUGAAGCAUCUAGUUUAACUUAAUCCUCUAUGAGAGACACUUAUUUCUCUUGCACUAUAAUUGGCAUAAUUGAAUGAGUAAAAGGGAAAAUCAAUAGCUUUUAUUUUAGCUAUCAAUUCUUUUAUAUUGUGACAAAUAUCUAUAUAUACUUGUUUGGACUUUGUGAUAAUGAUACAUCUUCCCUUCAUUAUUUAUUAUAAUAAUGUUUUGUGGUGUUACCUGCUCAUAUUAAAUUUAAAUAUUUUACCCACUUAAAUUCUUUGCAUUAGAAUAUAUAUGUGCGGAAUGCAAGUACUUAACGAACCGGAAGUUCACACAUAAACAUUGAACCGGAAGUUCACACAUAAACAUUGAACCAAAAGUUCAUACAUAAAUAUUGAACCAGAAGUUCACAUGUAUCGAACCUGUAGUUUCGACAACACUGAAAGAUUAUGAACCUUUCCAAGUAGGCUCAUCCAAUUAGAUGCGAUGUCUAGACCAGCUUGAGCCCAGCAGGCCCAUUUUCCUUCCGCAAGACCGAGCAGCCCAACAGGCCUCACACACUAUUUGACUAGUGCAUGAAAGCCUGGGUCAUGAGCUCGCAGCUAAGCCCCGUACGUAUGCUUUAUUAUCAAGCCCACUCUUUCUUUGGUCCAGUAGAACCAAAUAAAAGGAAAAAUGAUUUGAUUCUAUUGAGAUUUGAACCCAGACAACGUCCAUGUCAUUAUGGCUAUUGUAAAUAAAUUCACCAUAUUUUAUAUGUGUAAUUAAUUGCCAGAAGCAUUUAUUCACAUAAUUGUGUGAUAAUUAAUAUGUUAUUUUACUAGCAUGCAAUUAAUAUCUCAAUUGAUUUGUGAUUUCCA
Molecule: long non-coding RNA, 1345 nt
Organism: Rosa chinensis
Lineage: Eukaryota; Viridiplantae; Streptophyta; Magnoliopsida; Rosales; Rosaceae
Exons: 2
Source: RefSeq, a predicted model, not a curated record